Molecule: long non-coding RNA, 293 nt
Filed under: Cyanistes caeruleus (blue tit)
Lineage: Eukaryota; Metazoa; Chordata; Aves; Passeriformes; Paridae
Description: lncRNA (ENSCCEG00000000153.1)
Source: RNAcentral
CUUUCUGUGAACACAUGCUGUGUAGGAGCACUUAUCUGCUUUUGACAUUCCACACUCCUUGCAACCUGGGCCUCACAGCUUUUGGAAAGAACAGUCUGCCAUCUUCAUCAGUCUCACCUUUCCUGAAGAAAAACAGAAGUUACUUGUGCCACAUGACAACUCCUGAAUAGAACAUCUUCCCAGGAACCACCCCACAAGCAUGAGGAGGCUGAUGUGAGCUCUCAACCUUGAAUAGUCUUCCCUUUCCACUUAUUCAGAAUAAAUUUUUGGGGGUUUUUGGGGGAUUUCUUGGU